RNAcentral lists this ribosomal RNA (263 nucleotides) under uncultured bacterium. RNAcentral describes it as "partial 16S ribosomal RNA". It matches the Rfam family "Archaeal small subunit ribosomal RNA", at positions 744 to 1004 of the family's 1478-position model. The record is from RNAcentral.
GUCCCAGCUGUAAAACUAUGCAAAACUCAGUGAUGCAUUGGCUUGUGGCCAAUGCAGUGCUGCAGGGAAGCCGUUAAGUUUGCCGCCUGGGAAGUACGUACGCAAGUAUGAAACUUAAAGGAAUUGGCGGGGGAGCACCACAAGGGGUGAAGCCUGCGGUUCAAUUGGAGUCAACGCCAGAAAUCUUACCCGGAGAGACAGCAGAAUGAAGGUCAAGCUGAAGACUUUACCAGACAAGCUGAGAGGUGGUGCAUGGCCGUCGU